This 433-nucleotide ribosomal RNA is filed under the name uncultured bacterium. Its description in RNAcentral is "partial 16S ribosomal RNA". It matches the Rfam family "Bacterial small subunit ribosomal RNA", at positions 29 to 507 of the family's 1533-position model. The record is from RNAcentral.
AACGAACGCUGGCGGCAUGCCUAACACAUGCAAGUCGAACGAGACCUUCGGGUCUAGUGGCGCACGGGUGCGUAACGCGUGGGAACCUGCCCUUAGGUUCGGAAUAACUCCCCGACAGGGGUGCUAAUACCGGAUAAUGUCUUCGGACCAAAGAUUUAUCGCCUUUGGAUGUGCCCGCGUUGGAUUAGCUAGUUGGUAGGGUAAAAGCAUACCAAGGCGACGAUCCAUAGCUGGUCUGAGAGGAUGAUCAGCCACACUGGGACUGAGACACGGCCCAGACUCCUACGGGAGGCAGCAGUGGGGAAUAGUGGACAAUGGGCGAAAGCCUGAUCCAGCAAUGCCGCGUGAGUGAUGAAGGCCUUAGGGUUGUAAAGCUCUUUUACCCGGGAUGAUAAUGACAGUACCGGGAGAAUAAGCUCCGGCUAACUCCGUG